UACGUAGGGUGCAAGCGUUAAUCGGAAUUACUGGGCGUAAAGCGUGCGCAGGCGGUUGGCAAAGUCAGCUGUGAAAGCCCCGGGCUUAACCUGGGAAUGGCGGUUGAAACUAGUCGACUAGAAUCUGGCAGAGGGGGGUGGAAUUCCACGUGUAGCAGUGAAAUGCGCAGAUAUCAGGAGGAACACCGGUGGCGAAGGCGGGUUGCUGGGCUGACACUGACGCUGAUGCGCGAAAGCUAGGGGAGCGAACGGG
RNAcentral lists this ribosomal RNA (253 nucleotides) under uncultured bacterium. RNAcentral describes it as "partial 16S ribosomal RNA". It matches the Rfam family "Bacterial small subunit ribosomal RNA", at positions 524 to 776 of the family's 1533-position model. The record is from RNAcentral.